Molecule: long non-coding RNA, 4050 nt
Organism: Acinonyx jubatus (cheetah)
Lineage: Eukaryota; Metazoa; Chordata; Mammalia; Carnivora; Felidae
Exons: 2
Source: RefSeq, a predicted model, not a curated record
GGCGCCGCCGGCCGCAGCCGCCCCCGGCCCGCGCUCCGGGCCGCCCUCCUCCCCCCCGGACGCCGCGGCGGGUGCGGGGCGCGCGGGCGCCUGCGCCGGGGGCUCCCCCACCCACCCCUUGCGGGCCGCCGGUGUUCCGGUUCCGAAUCCACCCGGGGGCCAGGAUGACGAUCCGACACCAAGGCCAACAGUACAGGCCGAGGAUGGCAUUUCUCCAGAAGGGGAGCGCGCCGCCCCCUGGGCCUGAAGCAUCAGCCCUGCUUGGGCAGAAUGUUGGAGGGUGAGGAGCUUCCUACCCGUCCAGGAAAAACUGUGCUCGGAGUGUUCUUUCUACACCUUUUCUCCCAGCGGUUCCCAGCAGCUCGGGUGAUCCACGGGGUAACCUGCCCGCGAAUACCUCCUGUCUUGAUGUCCUUCCUUUCCCUGGCUCACUUCCCCAGCCACCUAGGGCAGCUUCCCCAGCCGGGCUCAGCCCUCUUACCGACGCUGCGAGACAGGUUCCAUUAUUGUCCCCAUUUUGCAGGUAAGGACAGGGGCGGGUAAGGACCAAGACUGAAGAACUGGGGUGAUUCAGCGACACAGUGACCCAGUGAAGCUGGUCUCGCUACAACAGUAGAGGCAUAAAGCACAGCCCGCGGUGGGUCCUAGCUCCCAAGUCUGUGUGAGGAGCAGGGGCAGGAACCCCGAGGGCAGAGCCUUGAGGCUGAGAUUGAAGGGGCUUCUGCUGUGGUGGGGGUGGCGUGUGCCGGGGCAGAGGCGUGCGCCAGUCUCGUGAGUACGGGGGGGGGGGGGGGGGGGGGGGACAGGCAGGCGAGGACGGGUCAUAAAGAUCUCCUGUGCCUUUCAGAGGUGCUCUGAUUUCCCCCCAAAAGAAGCCACUGAGGAAUUUGGAGCAGGUGAGUGAUGCGGUCAGAUUCAAGCUCAAAAUCAAGUUCAGAAGACCAUUCCGAUGCUAACGAGAGGAAGGUUGGGAUGUCGUCUUCUCCCUGAGCUGAGAGACUUCACACUCGAGUCCUCCUGUGUUCACUGCAGCUGUCACCUAGGAAGUGACAGGCUUAUCAAGGACUGGGAGAAAGGGACGGGUCAGAAGGUCCCUUCUUUCUCCUGGGGCGGCUUGGCCUCCAGCUCAGCCAGUGCCACUCUUGGGUAGACAGCCCCACCAGCCACACCGCUGCCACCUCUGAUUUCUGUUGCCAGGCCUGGUGACUGGCACCCCACCAGGGAGGGGUCCGGGCUUGCUUAAGAUGUGGCAAGAAGCGGUGGAAAGUCUACUAUCCAAGAGGUUUGCCCCGGGGGGGGGGGGGGGGAGUUGGCUGAUGACACACAGCGGACAUGAGAGCGUGGCUGGGCCGCCUUCCGUGUCCCACACACAGGGCGCUGCUCCUGUUCCGGCCUAUCUCUGUGUCUGGGCAACUCUGACCAGCUAGGGGGUGAGGCGGACAAAACGUUCCUUCGGGCCUCUAAUAUGUUUUUCUUUAAGACUUAGGGAGAUCGUUGGGCCUGGUUGAGCCCUGCAAGAAGUAGGAAUCUUCAGAAGGCUCGGGCGGAUUCGGAAUUGCUUAUGUCAGGGGCGCCUGGGUGGCUCAGUCCGUGAAGCGUCCAAGUCUUGACUCUUGAUGUCGGCUCAGGUCAUAAUCGCACGGCUCGUGAGAUGGAACCCCGUGUCGGGCUCUGUGCUGACCGUGCGGAGCCUGCUUGGGAUUCUCUCUCUGCCCCUUCUCAGCUCGCUCACAUGAGUGUGUGCGCUCGUGUGCGCGUGCUCUCUCUCUCAAAAUAAGUAAAUAAACCUAAACAAAUAGAAUUGCUUGUGCCAUUUAUACAUUCAUCCAUGUCACAAACAUGUGCUGAGCAUCUGUUGUGUUUCAGACAUCGUUAGAUGCUGGGAUAGCAGACAGUCGAGGCAUGGUCCCUAUCUGCAAGCAGCUUUUAGUCUAGAAGCCACAUACGCCAAUCACAGGUGCCACGACAGACACCUGCAGGGUAGAGGAAGUGCGUAAGUUCCAGCAUUCGCUUUAUCCUUGCUCAAGGUCACACGGGUGGAAUAUCAGGAAAGGACUUUGGAAGACUGCGCGGUGGGUGGGCUGGAUCUUGAAGGAUGGGAAGGUGUUGUUGAGGCAGCUGGGGUGUUGGUGAAGUAGGAGAACUUGCAUUUAGCUGCAGAUCUAGUGCGUGUCCCUUGCUGACCAGAGCCAGGUGGUGAGGGCCAAUAGUCAGUCCUAUUUCUGAAGGGAGGUUCUGGAAUACUUGAGAGAAGUUCUCGGUAGUUAUUGAGAACGUAACAAAAACGAGGACUUUCUGAGGCCGGACACAGCUAACAAGGCAUGUGGGACAUGGGCAUUUGGACUGUGACUGGCAGCCGUGUAGCUGGGACAAGAGUCUCCCUACUAGGGAAGAGAGUGCAGUGGCUUGGGAUCCUAUUCCACCUUUGCACAACAAAGGAUAUGAUGCGGGUGUUCCCCAGGGAGCCCUCUCUGGCGGACAGGAACACUCUGGUCCCACAAAUCUUAAGGACAGUGACAGCCACUUCAUGUGAGAAGAAGCCAGAAGCAUGGGUGGAUGGAAGAAUGAGGCUAUUGCUUUUUGAUGCCUUGUAGGGAUGGUCUGGAUUCUUUGAAAUGCUUGAUGUCAUACUUCAGUCAGCUGGACUCUGAGAGGGGGAAAAUGCUAGGCCUGUUGUGGGGUCAGAGAGGCCCAGGAUGAUCUCUUUGUUGUUUGUGGCCUUGGAAUUAGUUGUGGAGAGAAGUCAGGAUUCUAGAGAGCCAGGGAACUGUGGUCUGGUCAACUCUCUCUCUCUCUCUGUGUGUGUGUGUGUGUGUGUGUGUGUGUGUGUGUGUUGGGGGUGACAGUGUGGGGAAGGGAUAGGGGGUCUUCAAUGUGUCUAAUGAAAAAAGAUACCUCCGGAGGGCUGCACACGGAACACGAAGAUGAGGGGGGCCCAGAGAUGCCCCAGCAACACCCCUUCUAGAGGGUUUUAGGAAUCAACAUGGACUGUCUCUUGUUGGUGUGCAGUGUUCAUUUAAGACAGGGAGACGGCCAGGCUCCCCUCUCUGAGACCUUAGGAGUCAGUCCUACGUUUUGCACUUCAUUCUUUUUCAGGGAACCCCUUCAGCGAACUUACAUGGGAAAAGGUCAGAGGAAAAUGAUUCUGUACCCUAAUGGGAAGUCUUAGCCCGUCCAGGCUGGUAUCGCAAAAUACCGCAGAGUGGCUGGCUUACAAACAACAGAAAUUGAUUGCUGACGGUUCUGGAGGCUGGGAGUCUGAGAUGCCAGGAUGGCCGGGGCUGGUGAGAGCCCUCUUCCCAGCCACAGACUUCGUGCCGUGUCCUCGCAGGGCGGAAGGGGCCGGGAAGCUCUCUGGGGUCUCUGUGGUCAGGGUGGGAAUCUCAUUGACGGAGACUUUCAGGAGUAAAACUAACGAAUCACCGAGGUAGUACUUAGUACAAGUUUAUUGCGCCUGCACCAAAAAGACAGUUUGCAAACUGGGAGCCCUCAAACCGAAGCAUGAGAGGGAGGCUCAGGCGUGCAUUGUUAUAAAGCAGCUUAGACAGCGUGGAGGCAGUGACUGCUUAUUCUUUACAGUGAUGGGUUAUAAUACUAGAAGUUUCUUAAGUGACAAGGAAAUGGGCAGUGCUUACCUCACAUUAUCCUGGGGAAACAGGUCACAUGUUGCUUAUAAUUUCCAGAGGCAGAAGCAAGAAAUGACCCAGGUCAAGCUAGCCUUGCAAAAUAAGCUAAAUCAGGCUUUAUUGUAUGACUAAACUGGGUUUUUUUUUUUUGUUUGUUUUUUGUUUUUUUUCCUGCUUGGGGAAUUUUCAAGGCUGGUCUUGAUGUGGUUUUUAUUUUAACAGUUUCAACUUACAGGGGCACCUGAGGGGCUCAGGGAGUGAAGCGUCUGACUUCGGCUCGGGCCAUGAUCUCAUGGUGUGUGGGUUUGAGCCCCGCAUAGGGCUCUGUGCUGACAGCUCGGAGCCUGGAGCCUGCUUCGGAUUCCGUGUCUCCCUCUCUCUCUGCCCCUCUCCCCUUCAUGCUCUCUCUGUCUCUGUCUCUCUC